Molecule: ribosomal RNA, 1069 nt
Filed under: uncultured organism
Description: bacterial SSU rRNA
Rfam family: Bacterial small subunit ribosomal RNA
Source: RNAcentral
CUCAGGACGAACGCUGGCGGCGCGGUUAAGACAUGCAAGUCGAACGAGAAGCUCCCUUCGGGGAGUGGAGAGUGGCGCACGGGUGAGUAACACGUGAGCAACCUGCCGGGAAGCCCGGGAUAGCCCUCCGAAAGGAGGAUUAAUACCGGAUGUGGCCACCCUGCGAUUGCGGGGGAAGCUAAAGGAUUUAUUCACUUCCCGAGGGGCUCGCGGCCCAUCAGCUUGUUGGUGAGGGUAACGGCCCACCAAGGCGACAACGGGUAGCUGGUCUGAGAGGAUGGUCAGCCACACUGGAACUGAGACACGGUCCAGACACCUACGGGUGGCAGCAGUCGAGAAUCAUUCGCAAUGGGGGAAACCCUGACGAUGCGACGCCGCGUGGAGGAUGAAGGCCUUAGGGUUGUAAACUCCUGUCAAGAGGGAAUAAGCAAGUGAAGGUACCUCUAGAGGAAGGGGCGGCUAAUUCCGUGCCAGCAGCCGCGGUAACACGGAAGCCCCGAGCGUUGUUCGGAUUCAUUGGGCGUAAAGGGUGCGUAGGCGGCGCGGAAAGUCCGGCGUGAAAGGCAGGGGCUCAACCUCUGGACUGCGUUGGAUACUUCCGUGCUUGAGGACUGGAGGGGAGACUGGAAUUCACGGUGUAGCAGUGAAAUGCGUAGAUAUCGUGAGGAAGACCGGUGGCGAAGGCGAGUCUCUGGACAGAUCCUGACGCUGAGGCACGAAGGCUGGGGGAGCGAACAGGAUUAGAUACCCUGGUAGUCCCAGCAGUAAACGAUGUGAGCUUGAUGUGGGGGGAUUCGACCCCUUCCGUGUCGAAGCUAACGCGAUAAGCUCACCGCCUGAGGAGUACGGCCGCAAGGCUAAAACUCAAAGAAAUUGACGGGGACCCGCACAAGCGGUGGAGUAUGUGGCUUAAUUCGAUGCAACGCGAAGAACCUUACCUGGCCUGGACAUGCAUUGUGUCGUCGGUGAAAGCCGGCUAGUCCUGGAAACAGGACGCUUUGCACAGGUGCUGCAUGGCUGUCGUCAGCUCGUGUCGUGAGAUGUUGGGUUAAGUCCCGCAACGAGCGCA